GUAUCAAUUAAGUAAAUUUAUGUUCUCUUAUGAAAUAAAUUGUUUUAAUUUUGGUGGGUAUCGUCUUGUCUAACAUAACGCCUCACUGCUAAUCCGCACCUGUAUUUGUAUUUAUAGUCGUAUCAGUUCAAAUACUAGUCUGACAAGUUUUAAUCCCACGGGAUUUUCAUGGGCAAAUUUAGUGCAGUGACAAGUACAUUCUUUAUCGGAAAUCCGUAGAGGACAGAUCGUUUACAAAAAUUUAAAGAAGAUUACGACGGAAAACUGCAGCGCUACUGUUUUGAGAAUUCACAAUUGAGAUGAGUAUACAUUAUAUAUUUUCUUUAGAUGUCUGCGCUUAUAAUUUUGAUUGCUGAACUUUCUGUUUAUACGGCAUUUGAAUAUGUCCUCUGGAAAGUAAUGGAGACACGUGUUCAUCGUACAAUCAGCAAGAUAUUGGUUAUUUGGUUUUAUUCAAUCACUGACUGAAUCAGUCUGAAGUGAAUUUUAGUUAUAAAAUAAAUAAAUAAAUAAAUAAAUAAAAUUAACAGACAUAGUGAGCUGACAAACACUCACAGGUAAAACAUGGGUGUGGUCGAGCGUUUCUUUGUUUGCAUGUACAUGCGCAAAAAAAAAAUGCAGUACGUUAGUUCCUGUACAUUAUUCUCGGUCAUUAUUAUUUUUGGACUUUAAUCAUAUGUACAAUAUGCAUGUACUGGUUUCACCCGAGGUGUUUUGAGGUUUAUGCAUUUCUAACGUACAUUGUUGCGGAAAUAUUUUGUAACAUGAUUUAGUAUCGCUGGGAUUAAUCAAAGAAUUUUGCUUUGUAGCCUAUAUAUCCCAGACUCACCAGUUUCGACGCACAUAACAAGCAACAUGGCCGCGCUUUUUCAUUCAGUAACAUACGUGACUCUAUUAGAUAUUGCAUGUACACUAACCUUUUAUGCAUUGAAUCAUACCAAUAACAUCUUAUUCUUAACAACUGACUGCCAGAAAUCAAAUGGUAAACAACAACUAGUGUGAUCGGCCAUACUUUUUCUAACACACCUAUUUCGACGCAUCUUACAUGAUACUUGUUACGAAGCUUUUGAUUGGCUUAAAUAUUUGUGCAAUCACUGUAAGUAAUGCGCUACAGAUGCAAGUAGAUAAUCAAUAUUAAAGGCCAAAUGAUAUAAAUAAAUCUGAAAACAUUUAAACAUUCAUCAACAUAAGGGGCUAAGAACAUAGAUAAUCACUUUGCUUUUUUAAUACACACUGUCUGAUGUUUUUUCUUUCAUUUUUCUGGACUGCAGUGUUUACAGAGGAAUUUGGCACAUUUUGUUUUAUACAAAACUUUAGAUGAACCCAGUGUUCGCAGCCUACUUGACAAGAGAAAAAAAUGAAGUGUGUAGUAAUGAUCGCAUUGAUAUAUAAUGCGUACACCUUCCAAAACAGUGCAUAAAAUAGUGCGAUUACAUAUGUCACAUGGCAGUGAUGUGACCUUGAUAGCACCAAAGUCGGCUGCAGACGUACAACAAAAUUUCCAGUAACUUUUUUAAUCUAAGCUUCCACAGGGACGUUCUUAAAAUGGAUGAAAAUUUGCAUUAGUAGAAACAUUAAAAAUCAUGUAUAGUGAAAAUGUAAGUUGAUAAAUAUCUUCAAAUUCCUGAACUUUCCAUUUUGUCGGUAAAAUUAACCAUGAUGUUUUCUAUCAUUACACCGAGUAACUACGUCAUCGGAAACCCCAAGUUAAUCGAGAACGAGGUCAAAACAAAAAUGGCGUCGAAAUAGGUGUGCGUAAAAUUACAUGGUGCGACGAUAAUUUCAAAAAAAAAAAAAAAAUACAGACUAUUAUCUCAUUAAAUCAAAUAGAAAUAUACAUUUGGUUGUUUCUUACCAAUUGUCAAAAUCAUACUUUAAAUAUCUUGCUUCAAAUGAUAAAAAGCAUGCUGCAUAGUCUAGUUACAGCUUAACAGAUCCGAUGAGAAAAAAGCGACAUACAAUUAAUUGGUUCCAUGCCGUUUUCAACAGUAUUUCAGUCAGAUGGUUGAAGUGUUCGUAGAGACUGCACAUAGGAAAAUUGACGCAGUUCUAGCCUGUACGCUUUGAUGCGGAUAAUCCAUUACGUCAGCAACUGUAACACCAGCAUUAACACGGUCAAUCUCUGGUAUAAGGGGCUACAGAAAACUAAUGUCGUCAACCGGCUAUUCUCCUAAUGUCUUUAAACAGUUUAGCUAUAGGAGCGGCGUGGCAUGGUCGGAAUCGGCAGCUAUUGGGGCACCUUGUGUUGAAAGGUAACUGCUGUACCUGGUUAAUUUUAUUAGAUCCGAUUUAUCUAGGUCCGUUGCGUGCAUUACUUAACUGCCUGCAUGUAAAAGAAUAAGUUAUAAAAUGCAUUGAUAAGGAAAACGAAAUAAUCAAGAAAUAUCGAAAAUAGGUGUAAAACAGAAUUGAAUCAAUUAUGAGAAUAAUGUUAAUAAUAAUAAUAAUUAUAAUAACAAUAAUGAUAUGAAUAAUAACUUCAAUAAUAUGAAUGCAAAGAAGACGUCACUGGAAACUGUUCAAGCAUAUUCUGUUUAUGACGUAACAAGUCAGUGGCAAUAAGACUCUUCUAAUUGAAAGUCUUAUGGCUAUUGGUUUCCUAUUCGUCCGCCCGUCCGUCCGUUCGUCUGAUAUUCGUUCAAAAUAAAUAGAUAAUACAUUUUGACUGAAACCUCAGCAAAAGGUUUCAUGAUGACCCUGGCUUAUAGUAAUCGAACUAUUGGAUAAUAUGUACAUGUACCUGAAUGACAUUGUGACAUUUAAAGAUAUACAAUAUGUAAAAUAUGCAGCGAGUUUCAUAGAUUUUGAUACAUCUUAAAAAUUAAGGUACAUAGCAAAAGGUAAUUUCUAGCUCUAGACUUUAACUGUUUGUCAUUGACCUGCCGUACCUAUUGAGUAAACGUGUAUUCACUGCAUACCUCGUUUUGGCGAAUUUUAUUUUCAUAAAAUGUUGAGUGGCCCUCAAUACACGUAAUGUGCAUUUCGGUAUGGCAUAUUGUAAAUCUUAUUAGUACUAAAAUCUAAAAUGCAUUACAUUCGUUGAAAUCUAUAGUUAUCAUCUUAUAUCAUAGAGGUCGAUGAGAGCAUCUUUGCCUCGUUUUUCAUUAGUGCGAAGUACUAGAACCUAUAAUUUCCUAUUAGGUCUGGUAUGUUCUGCGCUUAUUUUCAUAGUUUUCUGCACCUUCGCGCUGCUAUGUUGCUUCCAGGCAUUUUAGCUGGAGCUUUGUCUUUCAUAUUUUCUCAUCAUUUUCAUAUAUACCAUGCUAUAUAUUUACAAUAUGCCAUAAUUUUCAUUUGAAAAUUUACAGUAAAGUCACGGUCUUAUCCCACAUAAUUUUGUUUUGUUUUUGCUGUAUUACUUGAUAUAUUCACCUUUGUCUUAGAACCGAUGAACUCCCUUAUGCAGUCAGACCCGUACUGUAGACAGCCUCCAAAAAUAUAACCUGCUUACUAUGGUCACACGUCACCUGUCUUGAGAAAAUAUAUGUUUUCACAAAUACCGGCAUUUUUCAGUCCCCAAGGGAAGUUCUGCAGCCGGAUUUGACUGUAUAUAUAUAUAUACCCCAGCACCCACCAAUAAAUUAAGUAAAUUUAUGUUCUCUUAUGAAAUAAAUUGUUUUAAUUUUGGUGGGUAUCGUCUUGUCUAACAUAACGCCUCACUGCUAAUCCGCACCUGUAUUUGUAUUUAUAGUCGUAUCAGUUCAAAUACUAGUCUGACAAGUUUUAAUCCCACGGGAUUUUCAUGGGCAAAUUUAGUGCAGUGACAAGUACAUUCUUUAUCGGAAAUCCGUAGAGGACAGAUCGUUUACAAAAAUUCCCUCCCACC
Molecule: long non-coding RNA, 3826 nt
Organism: Mercenaria mercenaria
Lineage: Eukaryota; Metazoa; Mollusca; Bivalvia; Venerida; Veneridae
Exons: 2
Source: RefSeq, a predicted model, not a curated record